UACGGGGGGGGCAAGCGUUGUUCGGAAUUACUGGGCGUAAAGGGCUCGUAGGUGGCCAACUAAGUCGGACGUGAAAUCCCUCGGCUUAACCGGGGAACUGCGUCCGAUACUGGAUGGCUUGAGUUUGGGAGAGGGAUGCGGAAUUCCAGGUGUAGCGGUGAAAUGCGUAGAUAUCUGGAGGAACACCGGUGGCGAAGGCGGCUACCUGGACAAUUGCUGACGCUCAGGCACGAAAGCGUGGGGAGCAAAAGGG
Molecule: ribosomal RNA, 253 nt
Filed under: uncultured bacterium
Lineage: Bacteria
Description: partial 16S ribosomal RNA
Rfam family: Bacterial small subunit ribosomal RNA
Source: RNAcentral